UACGAAGGGGGCUAGCGUUGUUCGGAAUCACUGGGCGUAAAGCGCACGUAGGCGGAUCUUUAAGUCAGAGGUGAAAUCCCAAGGCUCAACCUUGGAACUGCCUUUGAUACUGGGGAUCUCGAGUCCGGGAGAGGUGAGCGGAACUGCGAGUGUAGAGGUGAAAUUCGUAGAUAUUCGGCGGAACACCAGUGGCGAAGGCGACUCACUGGCCCGAUACUGACGCUGAGGCGCGAAAGCGUGGGGAGCAAACAGGG
This 254-nucleotide ribosomal RNA is filed under the name uncultured bacterium. RNAcentral's name for it is "partial 16S ribosomal RNA". It matches the Rfam family "Bacterial small subunit ribosomal RNA", at positions 524 to 777 of the family's 1533-position model. The record is from RNAcentral.